UCCCAGGUGAACGGGAGGAAGAACUUGUUGGCUGUGAGGGUGCCCGAUCCCUGGCCCAGGCUGCCCAGGGGGGCUGUGGAGUCUCCUUCUGUGGAGAUCUUCAACCCCCGCCUGGCCGCUGUCCU
This is a long non-coding RNA of Egretta garzetta (little egret), 125 nucleotides long. RefSeq lists it as uncharacterized. Lineage: Eukaryota; Metazoa; Chordata; Aves; Pelecaniformes; Ardeidae. The record is from RefSeq and is a predicted model, not a curated record. The transcript is spliced from 3 exons.